CUACGUGCCAGCAGCCGCGGUAAUACGGAGGGUGCGAGCGUUAAUCGGAAUAACUGGGCGUAAAGGGCACGCAGGCGGUGACUUAAGUGAGGUGUGAAAGCCCCGGGCUUAACCUGGGAAUUGCAUUUCAUACUGGGUCGCUAGAGUACUUUAGGGAGGGGUAGAAUUCCACGUGUAGCGGUGAAAUGCGUAGAGGUGUGGAGGAAUACCGAAGGCGAAGGCAGCCCCUUGGGAAUGUACUGACGCUCAUGUGCGAAAGCGUGGGGAGCAAACAGGAUUAGAUACCCUGGUAGUCCACGCUGUAAACGAUGUCGAUUUGGGGGUUGAACUUUAAGUUUGGCGCCCGUAGCUAACGUGAUAAAUCGACCGCCUGGGGAGUACGGCCGCAAGGUUAAAACUCAAAUGAAUUGACGGGGGCCCGCACAAGCGGUGGAGCAUGUGGUUUAAUUCGAUGCAACGCGAAGAACCUUACCUACUCUUGACAUCCAGA
This 490-nucleotide ribosomal RNA is filed under the name uncultured bacterium. RNAcentral describes it as "bacterial SSU rRNA". It matches the Rfam family "Bacterial small subunit ribosomal RNA", at positions 501 to 992 of the family's 1533-position model. The record is from RNAcentral.